Molecule: long non-coding RNA, 520 nt
Filed under: Homo sapiens (human)
Lineage: Eukaryota; Metazoa; Chordata; Mammalia; Primates; Hominidae
Description: non-protein coding BOK-AS1:7
Source: RNAcentral
AUCCACCCGCCUCGGCCUCCCAAAGUGCUGGGAUUACAGGCGUGAGCCACCGCACCCGGCCGAUAUUACAAAAUCUGGCCUCCAGAGGAACCAGCGCUGCCGACUCCUUGAUUCUAACCCACUGAGGCCUAUUUUGGAUUUCUGCACCCCAGAACUGUGGGAGAGUAAAUUGUGCUGUUGAAGCCACCACAUUUGUGGUGAUCUGUUCCAGCUGCAGUAGGAAGCUCGUAUGCUUGGCAGUUCUGAUUGUGAACUCACCUUUAUGUUGGAGAUUCCUUUACACAUAAGUCCCCUUAUCCACAGCGGACAAAUUCCAUGACCCCCAGUGGAUGCCUGAAAUCGCGGAGAGUACUGAAUCCUACAUAUAAUGUGUUCUUUCCUAUAUGUAUAUGUAUAUAUCUAUAUCUAUGAUACAGUCUAAUUUAUAAAUUAGGCACAGUGAGAGAUUAACAACAAUAACUAAUAGUAAAAUAGGACAAUGAUGACAAUAUAAUGUAAUAAAAGUUUUGUGAAUAUGGUC